AUAUAUAUAUAAAUAAAUAAAACAUAAAACACGAAUGCAUCUUGCCUCUGUGAGGUUCCUCCGUGGUCCCUCUGCUGUGCUAGCCUCCCCGGACCAUCUGCAUGUUCCACUUUGGAAGAGUUUUAGUUUGUAUUAUACAGACCAGACCCAGUCACCUGUUUCCGUUGUGUCAAGCUGGCCCAACAAAAGUUGCGCCCAACGUGGGGCUCGAACCCACGACCCUGAGAUUAAGAGUCUCAUGCUCUACCGACUGAGCUAGCCGGGCAGCCGUAAGGGGGCCGCUCUUCCACAGGCUGAUUGAGGUACUCGAGAACUUUCCUGUUCUAAAAUUGGUAGGGACAGGUUCUGGGUCCUGUGCGCGCUGCAACCCCGGGCAGUGGAACGCAGAAUUGGCGGACUGUUUUCAGCCAGGAGCGAGGGCGCCGCCAGGUCACCGUGUGCCGUCCUGUCCUGUCAGUGCGUCUGUGUGGCCCAGUAGCUCAGGGAAGCCGGCAAGUCUGGAGCAAGAGCAUGGGGCGAGUGUCACUGGAGACGGCCGGGCUGGCGGCAAGGAGCAAUCGGGAAGACCGCGGGGCCUCGCCGAGGGGACGAGCCGGGAAACCCUCCUUCCCAGGUGGGUGCUGGACCCCGUGUUAGAGCAAGAGGAAAGAAAAGUUGGGAGCGUUCGCGCACCUGCAGAUGGGAAGAAGUGAGCGGCGACCCCGGUUCUGACCCCCGCUUCGGGGUUCCCCGGUUGCGAGGGGCUGAGCCCGGGUCCAGAGGGGGCUCGGCGGAGCACAGGAGCCCCGGGGUCCUUUGCCGAGCGGCUGGAGGCCUGGCGGGGCUGGCCGGCCGAGCCUCAUUCGCAGGGUCCCGGACUUGGGUCCCACGUUGGGGGAAAUUUCUGGGCUGGGGCCCACGUGAGACAUCGCCGUGCUCACCUGGGCCCCGCAGACUGGCUUCUCUGGUGGCUCCGGGCGGGGGGCCCUGGCAGGGGCGGUGCUCGGGAGGGGAGGCGGGGAGAGGGUCCGGGGGCCGGAGGGUCCCCCCGCUCCCUCCUCGCCCCACCUUCUCCCCUUCCGGAAUCGAAACCGAAACCUCGCCCCGCGCACCUUUCCGAGGGACCAAGAAGCCGAGACUUGGUGGGACGGGAGCUCGGAGCCGAGGACGCAGGCCUCCAGGGAGACACCUCACGACCCGCAUCGCGGGA
This 1189-nucleotide transfer RNA is filed under the name Lynx canadensis (Canada lynx). Its description in RNAcentral is "lncRNA (ENSLCNG00005022203.1)". Lineage: Eukaryota; Metazoa; Chordata; Mammalia; Carnivora; Felidae. The record is from RNAcentral.